AUCCACUAGGCAUCUUUAUUACUAAGUAGUUUCGUACCACAGUAUGUGGUACUCUUCAGAUAAAUUGACCUAAUGACUAUAGACUAAAACUUACAAGGUUAUAUGUACAUGUGGAUGAGACAUUGUUAGUCAGUUCUUUACAUUGCCAAAACCAUUUGACGCUGUUCAUUCAUUCUACGGAUGUACUUGAAAUUUUUUUAUCUAAUAAACGAUCGAAAAUCUUUUUUAAUCAUCCGUUUCAUCUGUGGAGAAUCUAUGGAAGUUCAUUAUUGCACUGUGACAAGUGAGAAUAAACAUCUGCUAUCAACUUGCAUAUAGUUAAGCGUAAACAAAUAGUUUAAAAGGUCCACAACACAAUAAUU
This is a non-coding RNA of Paramuricea clavata, 362 nucleotides long. Lineage: Eukaryota; Metazoa; Cnidaria; Anthozoa; Malacalcyonacea; Plexauridae. The record is from the annotation of a GenBank genome assembly.